CCGUGCUGUGCCUUGUUUUUCUUUUACUCGUUUCUUUUGUUUUUGUUUUUUAAAAAAAAAAGAAAAAGAUAAAAGUUCCAGUUCAGCACGGGAGGAGACAAGCUGGCUAUCUGGCUAGAGGCUGGGAUCCAUGCCGAAUCGUAUGUGGCAGAAGACCCGGUUCAAGGUAUCUGGAAGCCUCAGUGUUGGUGUUGAUCCUAACCGGAACUGGGAUGUGGGUUUUGGAGACCAAGCCAGUGGAGGAAGCAUUGACUGGUCUUAUGACUCUGGAAUCAAAUAAUCAUUUGAAUUUGAACUGGGAGACACAGAUCGAUAUGAGUUCCUUCUGCUGGCCAAUCAGAUCUUACCCACAGUGAAAGAGACCUGGUUUGGCUUGAAGACAGUCAUGGAGCAUGUGUGAGACCACCCCUAUUAAGGCUCUUGGGAAUAAACACCAUUAAAAGCUCUUUGGUUUGAAGCAAAGUUGGGCUGUGAUUAUUUAUUUAUUUUUUAAAAUAAAUUUAUUAUUUAUUUAUUUGUUUAUUUUGUCUGCAUUGGGUCUUUGGUGCUGUGCGUGGGCUUUCUCUAGCUGCA
This 573-nucleotide long non-coding RNA is filed under the name Monodon monoceros (narwhal). Its description in RNAcentral is "lncRNA (ENSMMNG00015007019.1)". The record is from RNAcentral. Lineage: Eukaryota; Metazoa; Chordata; Mammalia; Artiodactyla; Monodontidae.